Molecule: ribosomal RNA, 236 nt
Filed under: uncultured bacterium
Lineage: Bacteria
Description: partial 16S ribosomal RNA
Rfam family: Bacterial small subunit ribosomal RNA
Source: RNAcentral
GAUCCUGGCUCAGAUUGAACGCUGGCGGCAUGCCUUACACAUGCAAGUCGAACGGCAGCAUGGAGAGCUUGCUCUCUGAUGGCGAGUGGCGAACGGGUGAGUAAUACAUCGGAACGUGUCCGUUUGUGGGGGACAACCGUCCGAAAGGAUGGCUAAUACCGCAUGAGACCUGAGGGUGAAAGACCGGGGACCGGCAAGGCCCGGCCGGCAGACGGAGCGGCCGGAUGAUUGAUUAG